CCCACAUUAGGGGCCUACAGCCCACCCCCAGCACCCUGUUGACUGAACUGCAAACUGCAUUUAUUAGCCAUUUGGCAUAACCAUCAGAUAAGUGGAAGGAUGUCAGCGUAUCAGCAGAGUGUCUCUGGAGGCCUCACACCACAUAGAAAGGACCGAAAAGUGAACAGUGCAAGUCAAAAUGGCGUCAAAAGAAGUGACCUGAAAAAGCUGCCUGGAAUAUUUUGAUAUCCACAAAAUAAAAGAACUUGAAUCAUCAGAAUAUCAUUAACACUGCUUUUUAGUUAUAACUUUCAUGUGAUGUUUGGUUUAGAA
Long non-coding RNA from Brienomyrus brachyistius, 312 nucleotides. RefSeq lists it as uncharacterized. NCBI's taxonomy places the organism in Eukaryota, Metazoa, Chordata, Actinopteri, Osteoglossiformes, Mormyridae. The record is from RefSeq and is a predicted model, not a curated record. The transcript has 2 exons.